AGUGAACGCUGGCGGCGUGCUUAACACAUGCAAGUCGAACGAGAGCGGGCUAUAGCUUGCUAUAGUUGUCAGCUAAGUGGCGCACGGGUGAGUAAUGUAUAGGUAAAUGCCUCUUACUAAGGGAUAACAAAUGGAAACGUUUGCUAAUACCUUAUACUCCUUAUUAACAGAAGUUAAUAAGGGAAAGAUUUAUUGGUAAGAGAUUAGCCUGUAUUGUAUCAGUUAGUUGGUGGGGUAAUGGCUCACCAAGACUAUGACACAUAACUGGUUUGAGAGGAUGAUCAGUCACACUGGAACUGAGACACGGUCCAGACUCCUACGGGAGGCAGCAGUGGGGAAUAUUGCACAAUGGACGAAAGUCUGAUGCAGCAACGCCGCGUGGAGGAUGACACACUUCGGUGCGUAAACUCCUUUUAUAUGAGAAGAUAAUGACGGUAUUAUAUGAAUAAGCACCGGCUAACUCCGUGCCAGCCGCCGCAGUAA
Molecule: ribosomal RNA, 483 nt
Filed under: uncultured bacterium
Lineage: Bacteria
Description: partial 16S ribosomal RNA
Rfam family: Bacterial small subunit ribosomal RNA
Source: RNAcentral